RNAcentral lists this ribosomal RNA (327 nucleotides) under uncultured eukaryote. RNAcentral's name for it is "partial 18S ribosomal RNA". It matches the Rfam family "Eukaryotic small subunit ribosomal RNA", at positions 1470 to 1796 of the family's 1831-position model. The record is from RNAcentral.
CCCUUAGAUGUUCUGGGCCGCACGCGCGCUACACUGACGGGGCCAACGAGUCUUUUCCUUGUCCGGAAGGACUGGGUAAUCUUGUGAAACUUCGUCGUGCUGGGGAUAGAGCAUUGCAAUUAUUGCUCUUCAACGAGGAAUUCCUAGUAAGCGUGAGUCAUCAGCUCGCGUUGAUUACGUCCCUGCCCUUUGUACACACCGCCCGUCGCUACUACCGAUUGAAUGGCUUAGUGAGCCUUUGGGAUUGGCAGCUUGUACCGGCAACGGUAGCAGGCAGCCGAAAACUUAGGCAAACUUGGUCAUUUAGAGGAAGUAAAAGUCGUAACA